UACAGAGGUCUCAAGCGUUGUUCGGAAUCACUGGGCGUAAAGGGUGCGUAGGCGGCGCGGAAAGUCAGAUGUGAAAUCCGGGGGCUCAACCUCCGAAUUGCAUCCGAUACUACCGUGCUAGAGAACUGAAGGGGAGUCUGGAAUUCUCGGUGUAGCAGUGAAAUGCGUGGAUAUCGAGAGGAACACUAGUGGCGAAGGCGAGACUCUGGGCAGUAUCUGACGCUGAGGCACGAAGGCCAGGGGAGCGAACGGG
RNAcentral lists this ribosomal RNA (253 nucleotides) under uncultured bacterium. RNAcentral describes it as "partial 16S ribosomal RNA". It matches the Rfam family "Bacterial small subunit ribosomal RNA", at positions 524 to 776 of the family's 1533-position model. The record is from RNAcentral.